This 462-nucleotide ribosomal RNA is filed under the name uncultured bacterium. RNAcentral's name for it is "bacterial SSU rRNA". It matches the Rfam family "Bacterial small subunit ribosomal RNA", at positions 28 to 479 of the family's 1533-position model. The record is from RNAcentral.
GAUGAACGCUAGCGACAGGCCUAACACAUGCAAGUCGAGGGGCAGCAUGGUAUCAGCUUGCUGAUACCGAUGGCGACCGGCGCACGGGUGAGUAACGCGUAUGUAAUCUGCCUGUAACAGAGGGAUAACCCGGAGAAAUCCGGCCUAAUACCUCAUAGCACAUAUUAUUCGCAUGAGUUUUAUGUUAAAGAGACUCGGUUACAGAUGAACAUGCGUUCCAUUAGCUGGUUGGCGGGGUAACGGCCCACCAAGGCAACGAUGGAUAGGGGUUCUGAGAGGAAGGUCCCCCACACUGGUACUGAGACACGGACCAGACUCCUACGGGAGGCAGCAGUGAGGAAUAUUGGUCAAUGGGCGAGAGCCUGAACCAGCCAAGUCGCGUGGAGGAAGACUGCCCUACGGGUUGUAAACUCCUUUUACCUGGGAAUAACGGGGCGCUACGCGUAGCGCUGUGCAUGUACC